AGAAUCAACGCUGGCGGCGUGCCUCAGACAUGCAAGUCGAACGAGAACCUCCCUUCGGGGAGGGGACAGUGGCGCACGGGUGAGUAACACGUGGGUAAUUUACCUUUGGGUGGGGAACAACAGCCGGAAACGGCUGCUAAUACCGCAUAAUGCAGCGGCUCGACAUCGAGACAGUUGUUAAAGCGGGGGAUCGCAAGACCUCGCGCCUAAAGAGAAGCCCGCGGCAGAUUAGCUAGUUGGUAGGGUAAUGGCCUACCAAGGCGACGAUCU
This 270-nucleotide ribosomal RNA is filed under the name uncultured bacterium. RNAcentral's name for it is "partial small subunit ribosomal RNA". It matches the Rfam family "Bacterial small subunit ribosomal RNA", at positions 26 to 282 of the family's 1533-position model. The record is from RNAcentral.